GGUCUUAUAUUCAAAAGAUGAUGAUAUUAGAAUGCAAUUCUGAAAGUGUAGUAAUUACUAAGGCUU
Molecule: transfer RNA, 66 nt
Filed under: Leptomantella albella
Lineage: Eukaryota; Metazoa; Arthropoda; Insecta; Mantodea; Leptomantellidae
Description: tRNA-Cys
Source: RNAcentral